Long non-coding RNA from Acipenser ruthenus (sterlet), 1951 nucleotides. RefSeq lists it as uncharacterized. The record is from RefSeq and is a predicted model, not a curated record. The transcript has 4 exons. Lineage: Eukaryota; Metazoa; Chordata; Actinopteri; Acipenseriformes; Acipenseridae.
GUCGUCUUCCAUAGACCCAGGAUUGAUGUUAAGCCCGUACAUUGUUAUGGGUCGAGUUGAGAAGCAUUUGGAACUUGCUGCUUUAAAGAGACAGAUAUGGAGCAAAGGCAGUCAGUCUCAAGGGUCAAAGGUGCAAUGUGCCUUUCAAAACACGACAACCAAACUGCUGAAUAUUGUCAAGAACAAAUUCUUAAUAGAUGUGCAGACGUUCUACAAAAAGAAGAACACAGCUAGAGGGACUCCAUAUACAAAGGUGCAGAAAAAACAAAAGGGAAGAAAUAAAAUUAAGAGACAACUGCAGUUUCAUCCGUAAUUUCCAAGAUGUUGUCCUCAGAUGAAACUCCAUGGAAAAGAAGAUAAGAAAAAGGAAUGGAAAAAGGUGGAAGAAUAUGUGCUUUGGACCUUGAUCUUUAUUGAAACCCAUCUGUGAACUAAAAUAACCAAAAGCUAACAGCUAGAUGAUAACAUUUUGCAUUUGACUCAGUGAAAGCAUUUCAGUUACAAUAGUUAUUUUUGGUAAGAGCAAGAGCGUUUUAUUUGUAUUAAAAAAUGCAUCUCUGAAAUGAUGCAUCCAAAACACAUACAGUGAACUUAUUGUUUAGCAGCGCAUUUAAAACACACCUUUACUUAUCAAUGUCAGUGGUUAAGAUAACCAACCUGCUAAACCUCUUAAUAAAUACCUUUUUUCAAAUAUCACCAAUAAGAAUGUGGUUAAUAACCAUUGGUAAUACAAAUAAAUAAGCUACUCGUUUCAGAGGAAAAAAAAAUAAAAACAAAAAGAGAGACAGUGGAAGGGAUAAAAUAAAGGGUAGGAAUCGCUAUUAAAACCUUACUAAAUACACUUUUAAGGGCGCUAUGUUCUUAACUCUUUUUGUCAAGUUUCUUGAUUACAAAGUGAACAUCACAAUUGGUGUUAAUGGUCAUCUUUUGUCAGGGGUCAGAGGGAAUGAACCUAAACCAAAAAGGGUGGUCCAUUCAGGGUAGGGAAGUUGCCAAUAUUGUACAUUAGUGUGAGAAAGCUGACACUACAGCUGCCCAUGCUAACCAGACAAUGCGGAUAGCGAGAGGACCUGUUUCUCCACUGCUCUUAAUCAAGCAGUACGUUCUGUUGGUGUCUGUUUAGUCACAGAGACGAGGUGAUUUCUACACCAAUGAUUAACAUAAAUCAAAUUAGACUUUUUUUUUUACUGACCUUGAACCCGUCUGAUACCUAUUGUUUAGAGAAUGGAAAAUGUUUUGUUUUUUUUCUAUCUCAAGUGUACGUUUCAGUACAAUGCAGUUUCAUUCCAACUCUUGUUUUGUAUAUAGAAAUGCUUCAAUCAGGGCAGUCUAACCAUCUGUAACCCAGGUGGGCCAUUCCUGUAGAUUUUUGUUCCACCCAAGCUCAACAAAAUGUCAGGGGUUGUUUAAUUGGAAAGCAAUGCAGAAUUAAGAUCAGAUUAGAAUGGCACCCGGGGAACUGCCCUGCUUCAAACUGUGCAUCAGGCUGUGUUUGCUUUCUGUAAGUUUUCUUUGCAUUUUUUUUUCUAAAGUAAUUAAUGUGAAUUUAAUGUUAAUACUGAUUAAAAUAAUUAUUCAGAGACAUGCGCGUCACUAUGUAUAAAAAGAAUAACUGAGCAAAGCUUGUUAUUUCAUGUUUCUGUGUCUGUGGAAACAAAACAAGUUCUCAUUUGGGGUCAUUCUGUUACAAAAUGUUUACAUGCAUUGUUGUUUUAUCAAGUUUUUAUUCAAAUCAGUUUUAUUGUAUCAGAUUUGUAUAACAUUUGUUUAACACAGACUUCAAGAAUUCUACAAUAUUGUGCACUGUUUCCUUUGUCCUGUUAUAAAAGUUAACAGUUGAAAUAAUAUUUACUACUAUUCAGAAUUGUAUUGAUCUAGAACUGACGUGUUGUUGUAUUGUGUUCAGCAGAAACAAGGCAGUACUAUAAAUAAAUUAAGUUUGCACUUUUUU